This 301-nucleotide ribosomal RNA is filed under the name uncultured bacterium. RNAcentral's name for it is "partial 16S ribosomal RNA". It matches the Rfam family "Bacterial small subunit ribosomal RNA", at positions 509 to 807 of the family's 1533-position model. The record is from RNAcentral.
CAGCAGCCACGGUAAUACGGAGGGUGCAAGCGUUAAUCGGAAUUACUGGGCGUAAAGCGCACGCAGGCGGUCUGACAAGUCAGAUGUGAAAUCCCCGGGCUUAACCUGGGAACUGCAUUUGAAACUGUCAGGCUGGAGUCUUGUAGAGGGGGGUAGAAUUCCAGGUGUAGCGGUGAAAUGCGUAGAGAUCUGGAGGAAUACCGGUGGCGAAGGCGGCCCCCUGGACAAAGACUGACGCUCAGGUGCGAAAGCGUGGGGAGCAAACAGGAUUAGAUACCCGGGUAGUCCCUGUCUCUUAUAC